GCAGUCAGGAUGAAGGAAAAUACUCCUGUACUGUAGAGACGAUCAGCUCAGCUGGAAAGACUCUGACUGUAUUAAGAGGAAGAACCGUAAACUGGGGUCCAGUAGCUGCCAAAAUCUCAGUAUCUCUCCUGGUUUGUUUACUUCUCUCUAUGUUUGUGUUUUUGAAGUUGAGGACCUUCAGUCAGUCUUCUAGAAGUGAAGCUGCCUUCAACAUGGAGGAGAUAAACUGACCUCCUUUAUGAAAAUGUUCAAGCUAAAGUCAGUCAGCAACAAACAACAUAAAUCAUCUUCCCUUCAGCAUCAUACAGUUUGAAGAACAAGAGGAUGUCUUCUGUACAUUAAGAAUAAUAUUUCCUAAUGCCUUUGAUCAAAACAACAAUAAACGUAAAAUAAAUUCUGUAAAUAAAUUUAAUGUUCUCUGCAAAUAAAUGCAAACCACCCAGCACCAUAAUUGUUGCUGAAUUAGAUCCAGAUUGUAUCAGCUUAUUGCACUUUAAGAAUCUGGAACAUGUUUUUCUAACGAUGAAGCAACAAAAACAGA
This is a long non-coding RNA of Poecilia latipinna (sailfin molly), 541 nucleotides long. RefSeq lists it as uncharacterized. The transcript is spliced from 3 exons. NCBI's taxonomy places the organism in Eukaryota, Metazoa, Chordata, Actinopteri, Cyprinodontiformes, Poeciliidae. The record is from RefSeq and is a predicted model, not a curated record.